GGCCGUGGCCGUUUCCUGUGGUGGUCCAGGGAAGAGCUAGGUGGGGGCCAUGGCUGAGGAGAAGGCAAAGCAUCCGUGCUGAGACAAUGGCUCAGCAGCCUGUCAGCAAUUGCUGCAGAUGGUCCAAGUGAAUUUUGUGUUCUUCAGAAGGCACUAAUCUGAGAGCAGUAUGCUGUUCAUAAACUGAAGGACCCAGAACACUCUACCAGCAUGCUGAAAACCUGGAGCUGGAGGAAUUAAUUCUAAUGCAAAUGAGGGUAGGGUUUCCCUGCAGAAGAAGUCCUUGUUGAAUCUGCCUAGACUGCCAACCUGGUUGCCAUAUGUCCAGCUAGGAAUGUGGCAGAGGUUUUUCAAUAUAGAGCUCACACUGGUUUCAUAUGUGAUGAGGAGACAAGGAAACAGUGGAGAACAGCAGCAGUUGUUAUGAUGCAGAUAAGCAAGAAAGAAAAAUUAAGGAUGGAAAGACGGAGCAGUUUCUAAAAAAUGAGGUAAGGAAUUCUCUAUAAAAGUGUAAAGCGUAUAAAUAAUCGUGCCAAAUAGUUUAUCCUGCCCUUCCUAGUAUUUCUGAGAAUUUCUUCUAUAUGUGUCUAGGACAUAUAAACACACAAUACAUAAUCCCUACUAACCCCCACUCACACAAUAAAUCUCCUUUUGAGCAAAAUUGCUGUUACUCU
Junco hyemalis (dark-eyed junco) is the source of this 674-nucleotide long non-coding RNA. Lineage: Eukaryota; Metazoa; Chordata; Aves; Passeriformes; Passerellidae. The record is from Ensembl.